UGGCUCAGGUGUGUACCGGCUCAGGUGUGCACUGGCUCAGGUGUGUACCGUGCACUGGCUCAGGCGUUCACUGGCUCAGGUGUGUACCGUGCACUGGCUCAGGUGUGCACCAGCUCAGGUGUUCACUGGCUUAGGUGUGCACCGGCUCAGAUGUGUACCAGCUCAGGUGUGCACCGGCUCAGGUGUGUACCGGCUCAGAUGUGUGCCGGCUCAGGUGUGCACUGGCUCAGGUGUGCACCAGCUCAGAUCUGAGCCAGCACAGGUCUGCAGGCUCCCACAGGUCACAACAAGAAGCAGGUGUUUCUGGGCGAGGACCUGAAGCAGCAGGCUGGGGCUGGGCCAGGUCCCACUGUGGCUGGUGGUCAGCACACCUUUGCCAGCAGGCGCCACAGCACAGGUGCCCAGCCCACAGCGGGGCGGCAGGGAAUCUGCUCCUGGAACCUGGGUUUUCUGGGCUGGCUCCCGGGGGUGUUGACUGACAGGAGAAGGCUGCAGAACAAGAAGGUCGGGUUUCAGGCUGGCAGCCUCUCCUCAAUUACAGGGAUGCUGGGGUAGGCCAGAACCCGGUGUCAGGUGGAGUAGAAGUCACGCUUCACGGGAGGCUUCUGUUUUUUAAGAAGUGCCUGUGGGCUGGGGGGUUUUUGGUCCAGAGUCUAGGGGAAGGCAAAGCUUACCAAACAGAAAGUGUCCACUCCGGGGUGGGGGACUGGGGCCUCGUCUCUCCGCUGGGCCAGGACAGGGCUGUGAGGUCCAGCUGCCUGCUCAGCUCUGGGACCUGUCCUCCUGCAGGAGCCCACGGCCGUGAACAUGCACACGGGCAGAUCCACAUGUCCCCCGAGGAAAAAGAGAGGGUCAAGGUUGAGUGUGUGGGUGCUAGGGGGUGCAGAACUCACUUCUAACUAUGAGGGUUGAGGCGGGCUUCACAGGGGAGGUGGGUUUUGAGCCAGGCCUGCAGCCCGGCAUCUGGAAGUGGCUUCCAGGCUCUCCCUGAGCUCUCUCCUGCAGGACACCCCUGCCUGCAGAUCUGCACCCCCAGCUCCUUCCUGGGGACUUGAUAUCAUGACCCUGCCUGGCACCCCAGGGGUGAAUGCUGCACCCAGCCCUGAGGGUUUCCAUCUGCUGGGGGCAUCUG
This 1132-nucleotide long non-coding RNA is filed under the name Homo sapiens (human). RNAcentral describes it as "HSALNT0246632". The record is from RNAcentral. Lineage: Eukaryota; Metazoa; Chordata; Mammalia; Primates; Hominidae.